CGGGGGCGGGUCGUGCCGGCUCCGAGCUGCUCGGGUUCCGCUGUUCGCUGUACUUGGUGCGAAGUGGAAGCGAAGCAGCUCUGGUAUCACCACUCUUGGCCCUUUCUCAAGAGCAUCCGACAAUGAACAAAUCCCAGGUUCGCAGCGCAGGUAAUCGACAAGCCUCCCGGUCGACGCGCUGGUCCGUGACCGAGUCCUGCGGGAGAAUGCGCACCCCAGCCAGGUUCCUAUUUCCUUGGAUCACACAGCUCUUGUGAGGAAAGAAGGUGGGGCCACCAGGAGCAGGACUCCCACCUGGGAGGGGAGAUCCCCAUCCUACCCGGAUACAGCUCACCUCCGAUGCGGGGGCACAGAUCCCAGGAACAAGCACGUUCUAUCUUGACUUCCUCUGGGGCAAUUCCUGAUCCUUCCGCCCUGAAGAGCAUCACCACACCAGACGUUGUCGAGAGCCAUCAAUCGGUGAAGAUGUGAGCCGACUUUCAAAAGAGAGAGGUCAGCUGAGCUGAGGGUGCUGGGCAAGAGGCAGGCUCCCUGGGAUGAGGAAAUCCUGUGGAUGGUUGGUGAGGGUGUGGUCUGGGAGGAAGGCGGGGGAGACACUCUCUCCACUCCUCCCAGAGACUCCUCCCCGCAAUUUUUAUUCUCCAGUCCCUCUUCUGGGAUCUACACAGCCCACAGACCCCGGCCAUCACCUCAUCUGGAAUUUAGAGAUAUGCUACCCACCCCUCAUUCCUGCCUUUGUAGGAGUACAGAAAGGGGGUCUUCAGGAGUUCUAUAAUCCUGCCUUAUUUUAGAAGUGAACAGUAUGAACUCUGAGCGAGUCAUUAGCAUAGGGUUAAGUUCAAGGUUUCUGGAGACUACCAGGGUUCAAAGCGUGGCUCUACCCUGUUACUUUCACUUCUUUCCCUCAAUUUCCUCAUCUGUAAACUGGGAGUAAUAACACUACCUACAUUCUGCUUUAUUUUAAGGAAUAAAUGAGGUAAUAUAUGUGAAGGACUUAGAAUAGUGCCUGUUACACAGGAAGAACUACCCAAGUAUUUUCAGUAUCAUCAAUAUUAUUAUAAUCUCAGUUUACAUGAUUUGUUAGUCCCAGCACCUAAAGGAGCAUUGGGGCCCCCUGACUCCCAAGUCCCAUCCUGUCGACUGUGUCUCAGUUAAAGCAAAAUUAGUUUCUUAACAAAAAAUCC
Molecule: long non-coding RNA, 1184 nt
Organism: Prionailurus viverrinus (fishing cat)
Lineage: Eukaryota; Metazoa; Chordata; Mammalia; Carnivora; Felidae
Exons: 4
Source: RefSeq, a predicted model, not a curated record